GUCUUUUCCAUAGAGGUUGUAUUUUCCAGCGAUGUAAUUCAUGAUAGCCCUCGACUGCACAAGCUGCAUCCCAUCUAUUUCAACCAAAGGCACCUGCUGAAACAUCAGGGCUCCAUCUACAGUAAACAUAGGAAUCACAUUAAUAUAUAGGUUCAUAAAACAAGAAGAGAUGAUUGAUGAGGAAUUUAAUGAAUAGUUAACAUACCAUCUAGCAAUUUAACAUAAUGCUCCCUUUUGGUCAUAAACACCUCCUCAAACUGUGAACACAACACCAAAAUAAAGUCAAGACGUGGAAAAUUUACUAGACUUUAUGCAACAAACCUCGACUCCAGCUGCAGGCCAAAAGCCAUCGGAUCGACUCCAUUUUCCCUCUUCCAUUGAAGUAAUGCAGCACAACUUUCCCAGACAUUUUCACAAAAUAAAGUGACACUUCAAAACUCUUUGCUGUGCAGCAGUGUGUGAGCUAUGCAGGUUUUUUUUUUUUUUUUUAGUUUUAUUUUAUGUUGACUAUUCAUGGUGUUGCAUAAUUUGUGGGUGGUGCUAAAUGGGCAUGAUCAGGACAAAGGGCACAAACUUACACCCACUGUCCUACUAACACGCACGUCUACACAAUAUCUUGUGAAUACAAAUGCUGAUAUCAAUAACCCCAGUCGAGGUAUUAAGUAAAUAACACAUAAUUCCACCGUUUCAUGGAUCAGUUUUCUACAGCUCAAGCUUUUCAGAUAAGCAUCUGCUGAUCAAAUGAAUGAAAAAUAAAGUAAAAAUGCUUGAGCACCAAUGGUAAAACGUUCAUUUGUGCAUGUAUACUUUAUGACAUUAAACAGCACUAUUGCAAGCCGUUUUAUAACUUUAUGCCCCAGGCACUUCUCAUAUGAUUAAAUUAUAUCCAUGGCUCAUCAAAAUACAACUGUAACUAUCUAAAAUAUAAUUUGUAUGGUCAAACCAAAGCAUUACAUGAAAAUUACGCAUGCCAAAAUAUGUGCACAAUUUGUUUAAUUUAUAAACUAAUGCUGCGUUCCAGAUGAGCAUGGACCUGGGAAUAUGUCAAAUUAAAUGUCCCACUUCAGACCUUUCAGUUCCAGUAAUCACACAUCACGUUCACAUUAUGUCAAAUGACAUGUCUCGCUGUGGUCGAGGUUGAUAGAUAUACCCUGAGUUUACACGCUGAAUGUCAGACUUUGACUGGUGUUCCAGAUGUUAUUUCCUAGAAGGAACGCACACUGUAAAAAGUAAUACGCUCUAUCUACUCAAUAAAAUUGUAGCAACAGAUUACAAGCAAUAUUAUUAAUUAAAUUCAACAUAUAAAAAUUGAGUUAGAAUUAAUCAAAUUAAUUCCUUAAAAGUCAACCAUUUAAAAUGUGUAAAAUUAGCAAACACAAUUACAAAACCCCACAAACUGACAUAAAAAGCAGAGUCAAACUGGCCAACUAAAUAAAACACUGAUCACCAUGAUAGUGACAUUUUCAAUAAAAUCAACAUCUAAACCUUUGUUAAUUCUUGUGUUUCUCUUUGCUUCAGUGAUUCUGCUUGUUAUCAUCAAUGUUGGCAAUAAAAAAUAAAGAGUUCUUAAUUCAUCUUUGACGUCUGUCUGUUAUUCAGAUAUUUUUGUUUAAAUUUUACUCGUUUUAAAUGGUUGACAUCUAAGGAAUUCAUUUGAUUAAUUCUAACUCAGUUCUAUUUGUUGAAUUUAAUUAAUAAUAUUGCUUGUAAUCUAUUGCCAAAAUUUUAUGGAGUAGAUAUAACGUAUUACUUUUUACAGUGCAGCAUAACAUCACAGAAACUACGAAUAUCCACUUUUAUGCUUAGUCAUCGUGAUUUUCAGUUUACGUAAUCCUUAAGUACGGCAAUAGCAGUGCUGUGUGUUUGCAUAGCAGCUAAGCAUUCUGGGAAAUACAGACUGUCUUAGUUUAAAAAAAAAGUAUAAUAAACAAAUAAGCAGAAUUUGUAUUCAUAUUGUGUUUUAUACAUACAUAUUUGAUGCAGCCUGAAGCCGGUCGUGUCUGCUGUAUAUAUACUGUGUGAAAGUGUGCUUGCUUUUGGAUGCAAUAAUAACCAACUGCAGAACCACAGAGCCACACGUCACAGCAAUUUGAUGACAGCAGCGCUAGGCCAGCAGUCUCAGACCGGUGUUAUGGUGGAGCUUAUAGUGUCAUUAAGGGCAGGUUUAGUGGUGGGGUGGGCUUAAGGUAGAGGUUAUAGUGAAGGGUGAGGUUAGUGGUUUUGCCGGGAUAUGUGAUCGUCAGCACCACCCUAACUUUCCUCAAACUGCUGUGACGUGUGGUUCUGCAGUUAGAUAUAUCUCUGCGGAUGUGAGGGCGAUCUGGCUGCGAAAUUUGUCACCCCAUUGAUUGUUGGGUUGAUUCGGCUGAUCUGGCUGGCUAGGCAGGUGUCCCCUUCCUCCUUCACCGCUCCAUAUGUGUCCCUCCCGAAGCUCCGCGCUCGGUUGAAGAGGACGUGUUCUCCCGGGGGACGAGCAUCGUUGGUAUAGAAGUAGCUGCACUCCCCUGCUAGAACCUCCAAACAAGCUUAAGGCCCAUUUGUAGGAGAAAUGUAGGGAAGUCGAGCUCCAAGACUUCAAGCACAUCCAAAUGAGGCACUGCAUGUGGCAGUCUGCCUUUCUUUUGUGAAAAUACGUAAUGUACCACUUUGCUUACAUUUCUUACCACUUUGCUUACAUUACUUAAGUUUUGUUUACCUAUUGUUUAUUCCUUUCAUAUUUGGUAUCAUUUUAAAUGUCUCGGUGCGAUUGGUAAAAUGGUCUCAAUUUCACAGCAGUCACUGGUAUUAUGAAGAAGAUUGAAAACUAAGGAGAAUUCUGUCCUCCUUUCUCCCCCCAAAACAAGUGUUGGUGUAAUAAAUAUUUACAACCCUUUUGUUCUGGUCUGUAUAUAAGGUAAAGUGCAAAGCAGUCGGGGGGGAUCAUCUGUGGCCAUAAGCCUCCGUGCAGAGAUGGGUGAAUGUCUGAAGACAUUCACACAUCACUCUGUGUAUAUUUCUUUGAGUAAUUGAUGUUAUGCAUUUAUUAUUUCUGAAUUGGCUUCUAAUUGUCUAACUGUAAUGUAAUUGGCAUGAUACAUUUUUACUUGACAAAUAAAAUGUUAUAUUUGGUUUA
Molecule: long non-coding RNA, 3112 nt
Organism: Ctenopharyngodon idella (grass carp)
Lineage: Eukaryota; Metazoa; Chordata; Actinopteri; Cypriniformes; Xenocyprididae
Exons: 3
Source: RefSeq, a predicted model, not a curated record